Molecule: long non-coding RNA, 221 nt
Organism: Ornithodoros turicata
Lineage: Eukaryota; Metazoa; Arthropoda; Arachnida; Ixodida; Argasidae
Exons: 3
Source: RefSeq, a predicted model, not a curated record
UUGUGUGCGGACAUAUUUGCAAGCAAAGAAUGUCACCCAUCUUCUGCAGAAGGUGCUGAAUGUGACGUGCCUUGCCAGUGAUCUUGGAGCCUGCUCCCCAUUGUGCGACGCUCAUAUCAGAUCAGGAGUGUAUUCUUAGUGACAGCCCUCCACCUCAGCAGGCUCUCCCGCUGGCCCCUAUUGAGAAUGUGCAAGAGACUCAGCAAACCCCAACAGCACAA